Long non-coding RNA from Quercus robur (English oak), 711 nucleotides. RefSeq lists it as uncharacterized. The record is from RefSeq and is a predicted model, not a curated record. NCBI's taxonomy places the organism in Eukaryota, Viridiplantae, Streptophyta, Magnoliopsida, Fagales, Fagaceae. The transcript is spliced from 4 exons.
CCCAAAAGCAACCCGAUAAAAUUCCUGAAACAAACCUAAUUAAAAAACCUCUCUUUCUUCCCCAAAAGCAAACUCGUUAAAACUCCUCAAAAAAAUAUUUUGCUAGCAGACUAAAGAAUCAACAAAGAAACAACAAAUCAAGCAAAACAACGCUGACCCAAGCACGACCAUGGGUGUUCCUCUCUCAAACGCAGAACCAAGCUCGACCAUGGGUGCCAACGUUUUCAAUCUUCGACUUGGCCGCCAUAUCAGAUCAUUCUCUCUAGGGAAACACUAAUAGAAAAUCAAUUUCUACAGGUUUUGUAAGAAAAUAUUGUGGAUAUGAAUGGGUUUUGUAGUGGAGAUAGUAUUGAAGAGCCUCCCAACCCUCAAAAUCUGACAACAAUCAUACAGGAAGGGGUUACUUAGUAUGUGGUUUGACCUAUAAAACUUCAAUGCUGCUAUAUCCUCCUCCUCUCAGGUAUAGAAUUCAAAAGCAAUGUGCAACUCACACUAACAUUUGUACUCAAGGAAAACCAAAGGACAUAUUCAGUGUCUACUACGAAGCAACAAAGGAAGAAAAUACAAAAAAACACUUUAAAGUUGUCUUUCGAUUUAUUUUAAAUAUUGAUUAAGUAGUUCUUUAAAUUUGUGUUUCAUACAUUUUAUGGAUAAUUGAGGAUGUUAAAGAUUUAAUUCUUCAUUUUAUUUUAAACUUAUGUUUGAUUUCUA